AUGCGUGAGAAAGCACACAUACUCAAGCAUGUGCAACUGACUGACUCUGGUUUUCAUUCUUAUAGUUAUCAUCUUAACCUGCAGCUCAGAGGAUGCAAAAAUUAUUCUUCUGGCUGCAGCAAACCUGGGACUCAACACUGGAGAAUUUGUUUUCAUCAUUUUGCAGCAGUUGGAGGACCGUUUUUGGAAGGAAGUACUGACAAAUCAGAAAAUGAUGCACCUCCCAAAGGUGUAUGGGUCACUGCUUCUCAUUGCCCUCAGCUCCUACAGAAAAGGCCGUGGAGACGAAGGCUUUUGGAAACAAGUCUACCAAACACUGAGGAGGCCGCCCUUCCGCAGCACCAUCUCCUGGGAGGAGCAGGUGUGAUGCCGGGUCUUCCAGCUCAGGCUCCCUCCUCCCCUUCUUUGAUCAUAUUUGUGUUUGGCUUUUGCAUUUCUCCCUCUUAUUUCUCCUCAUCUCUCCCUACCCCCCUUACACACAUGCAGGUGCACACACAUGCACUUCCCCAUCUUACACGCCCAAAAUAAACAGCAGUUUGAUGCUCUCUUGUG
This 552-nucleotide long non-coding RNA is filed under the name Pan paniscus (pygmy chimpanzee). RNAcentral describes it as "lncRNA (ENSPPAG00000044502.1)". Lineage: Eukaryota; Metazoa; Chordata; Mammalia; Primates; Hominidae. The record is from RNAcentral.